AGAGUUUGAUCCUGGCUCAGGAUGAACGCUGGCGGCGUGCCUAACACAUGCAAGUCGAGCGAAGCGAUGUUAAGGAAGUUUUCGGAUGGAAUUAAGAUUGACUUAGCGGCGGACGGGUGAGUAACGCGUGGGUAACCUGCCUUAUACAGGGGGAUAACAGUUAGAAAUGACUGCUAAUACCGCAUAAGCGCACGGGAACGCAUGUUUCUGUGUGAAAAACUGAGGUAGUAUAAGAUGGACCCGCGUCUGAUUAGCUAGUUGGUGGGGUAACGGCCUACCAAGGCGACGAUCAGUAGCCGGCCUGAGAGGGUGACCGGCCACAUUGGGACUGAGACACGGCCAAAACUCCUACGGGAGGCAGCAGUGGGGAAUAUUGCACAAUGGGGGAAACCCUGAUGCAGCGACGCCGCGUGAGUGAAGAAGUAUUUCGGUAUGUAAAGCUCUAUCAGCAGGGAAGAAGCAAGACGGUACCUGACUAAGAAGCCCCGGCUAACUACGUGCCAGCAGCCGCGGUAAUACGUAGGGGGCAAGCGUUAUCCGGAUUUACUGGGUGUAAAGGGAGCGUAGACGGUAUGGCAAGUCUGAAGUGAAAGCCCAGGGCUUAACCCUGGGACUGCUUUGGAAACUGUUAGACUAGAGUGCUGGAGAGGUAAGUGGAAUUCCUAGUGUAGCGGUGAAAUGCGUAGAUAUUAGGAGGAACACCAGUGGCGAAGGCGGCUUACUGGACAGUAACUGACGUUGAGGCUCGAAAGCGUGGGGAGCAAACAGGAUUAGAUACCCUGGUAGUCCACGCUGUAAACGAUG
Molecule: ribosomal RNA, 804 nt
Filed under: uncultured bacterium
Lineage: Bacteria
Description: bacterial SSU rRNA
Rfam family: Bacterial small subunit ribosomal RNA
Source: RNAcentral